This 458-nucleotide ribosomal RNA is filed under the name uncultured Smithella sp. Its description in RNAcentral is "bacterial SSU rRNA". It matches the Rfam family "Bacterial small subunit ribosomal RNA", at positions 920 to 1382 of the family's 1533-position model. Lineage: Bacteria; Pseudomonadati; Thermodesulfobacteriota; Syntrophia; Syntrophales; Smithellaceae. The record is from RNAcentral.
CCCGCACAAGCAGUGGAGUAUGUGGUUUAAUUCGAAGCAACGCGAAGACCUUACCAGGGCUUGACAUCCCUUGAAGCAGCUAGAGAUAGCUGUGUCCUUCGGGACAAGGAGACAGGUGGUGCAUGGUUGUCGUCAGCUCGUGUCGUGAGAUGUUGGGUUAAGUCCCGCAACGAGCGCAACCCUUAUCUUUAAUUGCCAGCAUUCAGUUGGGCACUUUAAAGAGACUGCCGGUGUUAAACCGGAGGAAGGUGGGGAUGACGUCAAGUCCUCAUGGCCUUUAUGCUUAGGGCUACACACGUGCUACAAUGGGUGGUACAAAGAGAAGCCAACUCGCGAGAGCGCGCCAAUCUCAAAAAGCCAUCCUCAGUUCGGAUUGGAGUCUGCAACUCGACUCCAUGAAGUUGGAAUCGCUAGUAAUCGCGGAUCAGCAUGCCGCGGUGAAUACGUUCCCGGGCCUU